CAAUAUCAUCUGCUGGUGGAGUAUAAAUCACGAGAACAUUAAAAUAGAGGGAAAAGCUCACCAGUCGCAAUGCAAGUGUCAGGCACCCCACGUCUUGACACUUCACAUGAAGGACAAUGAAUGUUCUUGCACAGCAGGACGGACAACACAUGCUGCCGUCUGUCAUCGCAGCGUUCCACAGAAGAUUUGCAGCAGCAGGCAGGAGGAUCAGCAGGCCUUACACCCACCGCCGACAUGCUUCAGAUCUUCAGCAGGCCAGCAGAGUCCAGCUACAACACUGAAUAUGAACGAUUUCAGCCUGCCCCAGCUUUCGAGGAAACACUGUGGUGGAUUUGAGAAAACAAAUUAUGUAUUACAGCGCUGAAAGAGUCAUUUCAGUUUAUAAACAAGAGAUUUUUCUGUUUGUUUUCUUAAAUAAAAAAAC
This is a long non-coding RNA of Epinephelus fuscoguttatus (brown-marbled grouper), 424 nucleotides long. RefSeq lists it as uncharacterized. Lineage: Eukaryota; Metazoa; Chordata; Actinopteri; Perciformes; Serranidae. The record is from RefSeq and is a predicted model, not a curated record. The transcript has 3 exons.